RNAcentral lists this ribosomal RNA (361 nucleotides) under uncultured bacterium. Its description in RNAcentral is "partial 16S ribosomal RNA". It matches the Rfam family "Bacterial small subunit ribosomal RNA", at positions 338 to 696 of the family's 1533-position model. The record is from RNAcentral.
CCUACGUGAGGCAGCAGUGAGGAAUAUUGGUCAAUGGACGGAAGUCUGAACCAGCCAUGCCGCGUGCAGGAAGACGGCUCUAUGAGUUGUACACUGCUUUUGUACAAGGGUAAACCUGAAUACGUGUAUUCAGCUGAAAGUACUGUACGAAUAAGGAUCGGUCAACUCCGGGCCAGCAGCAGCGGUAAUACGGGGGAUCCAAGCGUUAUCCGGAUUUAUUGGGUUUAAAAUGUGCGUAGGCGGAUUGAUAAGUCAGUGGGGAAAUGUCCGAGCUUAACUCGGGAACUGCCUCUAAUACUGUUAGUCGAGAGGGUAGAUGCGGUGGGCAGAAUGUAUGGUGUAGCGGUGAAAUGCUUAGAGA